ACCACAGGGUAGAUGGGCUGGAAUCAAACCCAGCUUUAAGGUAAUUUGUGGCUGCUUUUUGGGGUCUGAGUGAAGAACAAGGCUUGGACUUCUCCUUCCCCGCAAGCAAGCGGCUGACCAUCCAGAGACCAAGGUAGCUGUAAAGCAGAGCACAGGAAAGCCUAUUCAACCUUAAUAACGCUUUGUGGCCUCUAUCCUGAGGCAUAUUUAAAAGGCUUGGAUUUCAUAAGGGUCCUGAUCCGCCACGAGGGAGGCAGACAG
This 261-nucleotide long non-coding RNA is filed under the name Coturnix japonica (Japanese quail). RNAcentral's name for it is "lncRNA (ENSCJPG00005014035.1)". Lineage: Eukaryota; Metazoa; Chordata; Aves; Galliformes; Phasianidae. The record is from RNAcentral.